RNAcentral lists this long non-coding RNA (693 nucleotides) under Cyanistes caeruleus (blue tit). RNAcentral describes it as "lncRNA (ENSCCEG00000012091.1)". The record is from RNAcentral. Lineage: Eukaryota; Metazoa; Chordata; Aves; Passeriformes; Paridae.
AUGAAUAGGCCCUGCUCACAGCAAGAGAGCUUUCCUAGGAGUGCAUUGCACAUUGGCUGUUUUCCCAGCCCCAUGGAGCCUUUCAGGAGCCUGCUGUGGCACGUUUUGGUUGGAUUUAGGGGAUUGCAGUGUACAAGCCAGGGUUUUUCCCAAGUGCUGAUGCUGCGGUGUUCCCAUCAGACCGCACGCAGGAAGCAUCUUCAUGUUAUUUCUCUGAGUGGGCACACACAGCCCCAGAUCUUGGAGAAUGUACAGCAGCUUCAGCUCUGUAACCUGCAGCACACAGGGAAUGUCUGCCUGCAAGGAGAGAGCCCUGCUCUGGUGCCCUGUCCAGAUGUAAAAUCGUUGUGCCAAAUGCACCAAAUGGAUACCUGGGACCCAAUGUCAUACUCAGAAAAGGUGCUGGGCUGUAAUUCCAGGAUUCCAGCCUUUUGCUGUGCAUCCCACCACAUGUGCGUGUCUGGAAGCCUGUGUCAGCAAAGGGAUGACCCCACCUCGAGUUUGCCAGCCUGCAGAAGAAAAAUUCAAUAAAAUGUUGUGAACUGGGAGGGAAAACACUGCUCAUGGAGAACUUACCAGGGCUCUGCUACAAACUCAGCACACCUGUGCCACCAGGUUCAGCCAGUCCUGGGCAGAGUCACCUGUCAGACCUGCAGCCAUCCCACAAUGGAAAUAAACAACCCAUGUUUUGCA